Non-coding RNA from Sabethes cyaneus, 82 nucleotides. NCBI's taxonomy places the organism in Eukaryota, Metazoa, Arthropoda, Insecta, Diptera, Culicidae. The record is from the annotation of a RefSeq genome assembly.
GGCGAGGUGGCCGAGUGGUUAAGGCGUUGUACUCAUUCUUCAAUGUGCCAAGCACGCGCGGGUUCGAGUCCCGCCCUCGUCG